UAUUCCCAAUCAGCAAACUGGGUCAGUGAUCCAACAGAUAACCUUGUGGGAUAGAUCGCGUGUUACGAGCAGUGUCCUUGUUGUAACUUUGCUGAUCAUAUACAUGUAAAGAUUGCAAAAAUCAUUACCACUCAAUUGCAAUCUCUCUCCGAUCACCACUUUGAGUGCAUUUGAGCCUGGAUCAGUAAACUUGUUGUGCAUAGAGAGAUUGUCAGAGGUGAUUGUCGACACUUCCUCUGACAAGACAAUGAUGAAAAGCAGGGAAGCACAAGACAGCAUGAAGAAGGAGCACAAGUACGUCAAGAUGGCAAACGUGGUGAUCCUCAUGCUAUGGUCAGUUGUUCUGGCUAAGCCACUAAAGCACACAUAGAUGGUGAUAUGGAUGCUGGCGGUCCUCGAGGUGGCACUGUCCGUGGUCCCUUUCAAGUAUGUCGAUGAAAGUCAAAAGGCUGCAUUUAAAUAAA
Molecule: long non-coding RNA, 464 nt
Organism: Lolium perenne
Lineage: Eukaryota; Viridiplantae; Streptophyta; Magnoliopsida; Poales; Poaceae
Source: RefSeq, a predicted model, not a curated record